GACGAACGCUGGCGGCGUGCCUAACACAUGCAAGUCGAACGGAACUGUUUUGAAAGAUUUCUUCGGAAUGAAUUUGAUUUAGUUUAGUGGCGGACGGGUGAGUAACGCGUGAGUAACCUGCCUUCAAGAGGGGAAUAACAUUCUGAAAAGAAUGCUAAUACCGCAUGACAUAUCGGAACCACAUGGUUUUGAUAUCAAAGAUUUUAUCGCUUGAAGAUGGACUCGCGUCCGAUUAGUUAGUUGGUGAGGUAACGGCUCACCAAGACCGCGAUCGGUAGCCGGACGGAGGGGUUGACCGGCCACGUUGGGACUGAGACACGGCCCGGACCCCUGCGGGAGGCAGCGGGGGGGGAUAUUGCGCAAGGGGGGCAACCCUGACCCAGCAACCCCGCGGGAAGGAUGAAGGUUUUCGGAUUGUAAACUUUUUUUAUUAAGGCCAAAAAAUGCCGGUACUUAAUGAAUAAGCCCCGGCUAACUCCGU
This 481-nucleotide ribosomal RNA is filed under the name uncultured bacterium. RNAcentral describes it as "partial 16S ribosomal RNA". It matches the Rfam family "Bacterial small subunit ribosomal RNA", at positions 28 to 506 of the family's 1533-position model. The record is from RNAcentral.